RNAcentral lists this ribosomal RNA (253 nucleotides) under uncultured bacterium. RNAcentral's name for it is "partial 16S ribosomal RNA". It matches the Rfam family "Bacterial small subunit ribosomal RNA", at positions 524 to 776 of the family's 1533-position model. The record is from RNAcentral.
UACGUAGGGUGCGAGCGUUGUCCGGAAUUAUUGGGCGUAAAGAGCUUGUAGGCGGUUUGUCGCGUCGGCUGUGAAAACCCGGAGCUCAACUCCGGGCCUGCAGUCGAUACGGGCAGACUGGAGUUCGGCAGGGGAGACUGGAAUUCCUGGUGUAGCGGUGAAAUGCGCAGAUAUCAGGAGGAACACCGGUGGCGAAGGCGGGUCUCUGGGCCGAUACUGACGCUGAGGAGCGAAAGCGUGGGGAGCGAACAGG